Molecule: long non-coding RNA, 1302 nt
Organism: Cloeon dipterum
Lineage: Eukaryota; Metazoa; Arthropoda; Insecta; Ephemeroptera; Baetidae
Exons: 3
Source: RefSeq, a predicted model, not a curated record
GCUUCGCGCGGUUGGUUUUUCACCAGCUUUUCAAUUUCAUCCUCGCGCGCAAGAAAGAUCGCAGCUGGGAAGAGCAAGGAGGGACAGGAGGGGCAGGAGCGGCUGGUGUUGCUGCUUGCAGCGUAAGCGGCAACGGCAAGAGAGAAAAAGCGAAAGUGGGGGCGGGAGUUAGCAUGCACAUGCAGGCACAGGCAGGAUCGGAAACAGAGUGCGUACGCAGCCAAAGCCAACGGCAAAAAGAGAAUCCAACGACAUGGCACACACGCGCGCAUUUACGUCCAGCUUUUACGAACAAUUAAGGGCACAAUUAGCUAAUUAUCCGAGUGUUUAGUGCACCAGUAUGCAAGUAACGUGUCGCGCGACUGUUUUGCUCAACCGUUCAUCAUCUACAAAGAUAAUUCUCACUGCUGCGGCUGGUGUAUGUACGACGUUAUGGAUGAGCUCAAUGACGCCAGACAAGACGGAAUAAAGGAUGAGACGGAUGAUUAGCAACCAGUGUGGAGCUGCCAAAGAGCAAGGCUGAUGGGCAUUCAGAAGAGUGUGCAGGCCUCCCGGAUGAAAAAGGUUGAAACAGAUGAAGAAGGAGGAGGUGGAGAAGAAGGAUCAGCGAGGAAGCAGCAGAAAGAGCUGAUGAAUGUUCCAGCCGCUGAGAAGGAUCAGCUCAUGCAGAGGAAGAUAACCAAGAAAACCACGUGAGAAAAUUUGUUCAUCGACAGACUUGAAAAUUAUUUAGAAUAUUUCCCCAUUAAAGUCUAAUAUAACCAUAAGUUCAUAUUUAAUAUUUCAAGAGGGUUGGGCUGGGCACUACAAAUCUUUGUUUAAAAAACUGCACUGUUCCUGGCUGAGCCCCCACUUUGUGCCGAAUGCGUCUGCUGCUCGAGGCUAGCUCGAGCUCGUCGAAAAGCUCGGUACGCACUCAAGAAGGGGUUCCAACCUGGCUCUCUUGCAGGGAGGGUGGUGGUUGUGGUUUCAACCACAAACACCACCCUCCUUGCCAAGGUUAGAGCGCGAGAGCCAGGUCAGAAUCUCUCUCGAGCGCGAACCGAGCCCUUCGACGAGCUCGAGCAGCAGAUGCUUAGUCGGUUCAAUUUACUAUAAGUAAUUAAAUGAGCAGACCUAGUAAUUGGAAACUAAUUUUAAUAGAAUUUGUAUGUUAUUAUCGUAAAAUCCACUAUACUAUGCUCAAGUUUUUAAACUUUGAUGCCCUUGUUCUAGUUAAAUGGAGUAAAAAAAUUAUUUUAUGUGACACUAUAUGUAUGAAUAUUUGUAAUUAUAUCAUAAAAUGUUUAUAAUUUGCUGCAA